This 563-nucleotide small RNA is filed under the name Pongo abelii (Sumatran orangutan). Its description in RNAcentral is "retained intron". The record is from RNAcentral. Lineage: Eukaryota; Metazoa; Chordata; Mammalia; Primates; Hominidae.
ACUUGCAUUAUGUAAGCGCACAGGGAACCCUGCGGACACAGGGAAAGCCAUGUCCUCCUGUUGGCAGCCGAAUGGAGGGAGUGUGGGCGUCCUUGUCUAGUAACUGAACUGGUGUGUGGGCCGGAGGCUGACCUCAGGGCUGUCAGUGAACACACGUGGUAUUGAGGCUGCCGCGUUUCUCCCUGUAGUGGACUGCUGGGACGGGCCCGAUGGGAAGCCGGUCAUCUACCAUGGCUGGACGCGGACCACCAAGAUCAAGUUUGAUGACGUCGUGCAGGCCAUCAAAGACCACGCCUUUGUUACCUCGAGCUUCCCAGUGAUCCUGUCCAUCGAGGAGCACUGCAGCGUGGAGCAGCAGCGUCACAUGGCCAAGGUCUUCAAGGAAGUGUUUGGCGACCUGCUGCUGACGAAGCCCACGGAGGCCAGCGCUGACCAGCUGCCCUCGCCCAGCCAGCUGCGGGAGAAGAUCAUCAUCAAGCAUAAGAAGCUGGGCCCCCGAGGCGACGUGGAUGUCAACAUGGAGGACAAGAAGGAUGAGCACAAGCAGCAGGGAGAGCUGUACA